RNAcentral lists this ribosomal RNA (440 nucleotides) under uncultured bacterium. RNAcentral's name for it is "partial 16S ribosomal RNA". It matches the Rfam family "Bacterial small subunit ribosomal RNA", at positions 338 to 795 of the family's 1533-position model. The record is from RNAcentral.
CCUACGGGAGGCAGCAGUAGGGAAUAUUGCUCAAUGGGGGAAACCCUGAAGCAGCAACGCCGCGUGGAGGAUGAAGGUUUUCGGAUUGUAAACUCCUUUUGUUAGAGAAGAUAAUGACGGUAUCUAACGAAUAAGCACCGGCUAACUCCGUGCCGGCAGCCUCGGUAAUACGGCGGGUGCAAGCGUUACUCGGAAUCACUGGGCGUAAAGAGCGCGUAGGCGGGAUAGCAAGUCAGAUGUGAAAUCCUAUGGCUUAACCAUAGAACUGCAUUUGAAACUGUUAUUCUAGAGAAUGGGAGAGGUAGGGGGAAUUCUUGGUGUAGGGGUAAAAUCCGUAGAGAUCAAGAGGAAUACUCAUUGCGAAGGCGACCUGCUAGAACAUAACUGACGCUGAUGCGCGAAAGCGUGGGGAGCAAACAGGAUUAGAUACCCGUGUAGUC